UUACUAUGAUGAGAUUCCACUUUAUGGUCCGUGUUUCUGAAACACAUGAUUUUUGUGGAACUUCUGAUUCU
Small nucleolar RNA from Camelus dromedarius (Arabian camel), 71 nucleotides. Its record names the gene SNORD18. It matches the Rfam family "Small nucleolar RNA SNORD18". Rfam says of the family: U18 is a member of the C/D class of snoRNA which contain the C (UGAUGA) and D (CUGA) box motifs. The record is from Ensembl. Lineage: Eukaryota; Metazoa; Chordata; Mammalia; Artiodactyla; Camelidae.